This 268-nucleotide long non-coding RNA is filed under the name Elaeis guineensis (African oil palm). RNAcentral describes it as "long non-coding RNA (EGUI_LNC074943)". Lineage: Eukaryota; Viridiplantae; Streptophyta; Magnoliopsida; Arecales; Arecaceae. The record is from RNAcentral.
GACAUACAAACAGCUUAGGAGACCUAAUGAGAGGUAGAGUGGAAAGGAUUUUAGAGGAAAGACAAAGAUUUUUAAGGAGAUGAACCACCGAUUUGGAGACGAGGAUUUGAAGCUAGGGUAAGCUUGAUUCACCCAAAUGAGGAAGAGAAGGAAAAGAGAUUUAGUUUCUAAGAGGGAGAUUUGAAUAGAGAAAAUUGAUGAGAAGAGAGAUUUUAAGAGAUUUUUGCAGUUGAGAGAGUGGAGAGGGAGGAGAUUUUUGUUCGGUGGG